GUAGCUUGCUAUGAGAACAAUUAGUGGCAGACGGGUGAGUAAUGCAUAGGAAUCUACCUAGUAGUAUAGGAUAGCCACUAGAAAUGGUGGGUAAUACUGUAUAAUCCCUGCGGGGGAAAGAUUUAUCGCUACAUGAUGAGCCUAUGUUAGAUUAGCUAGUUGGUGGGGUAAUGGCCUACCAAGGCAGUGAUCUAUAGCUGGUCUGAGAGGAUGAUCAGCCACACUGGAACCGAGACACGGUCCAGACUCCUACGGGAGGCAGCAGUGGGGAAUAUUGGACAAUGGGCGCAAGCCUGAUCCAGCUAUGCCGCGUGAGUGAGGAAGGCCUUAGGGUUGUAAAACUCUUUCAGUGGGGAAGAUAAUGACGGUACCCACAGAAGAAGUCCCGGCAAACUCCGUGCCAGCAGCCGCGGUAAUACGGAGGAGGCAAGCGUUGUUCGGAAUUAUUGGGCGUAAAGGGCAUGUAGGUGGUUUGGUAAGUUAAAGGUGAAAUGCCAGGGCUUAACCCUGGAGCUGCUUUUAAUACUGCCAGACUGGAGUCCGGG
This 545-nucleotide ribosomal RNA is filed under the name uncultured Anaplasma sp. Its description in RNAcentral is "bacterial SSU rRNA". It matches the Rfam family "Bacterial small subunit ribosomal RNA", at positions 75 to 652 of the family's 1533-position model. Lineage: Bacteria; Pseudomonadati; Pseudomonadota; Alphaproteobacteria; Rickettsiales; Anaplasmataceae. The record is from RNAcentral.